This 908-nucleotide ribosomal RNA is filed under the name Pedobacter sp. DAB_ATA155. RNAcentral describes it as "bacterial SSU rRNA". It matches the Rfam family "Bacterial small subunit ribosomal RNA", at positions 545 to 1465 of the family's 1533-position model. The record is from RNAcentral. Lineage: Bacteria; Pseudomonadati; Bacteroidota; Sphingobacteriia; Sphingobacteriales; Sphingobacteriaceae.
CCGGAUUUAUUGGGUUUAAAGGGUGCGUAGGCGGCUUAUUAAGUCAGGGGUGAAAGACGGUGGCUCAACCAUCGCAGUGCCUUUGAUACUGAUGAGCUUGAAUGAACUAGAGGUAGGCGGAAUGUGACAAGUAGCGGUGAAAUGCAUAGAUAUGUCACAGAACACCGAUUGCGAAGGCAGCUUACUAUGGUUUUAUUGACGCUGAGGCACGAAAGCGUGGGGAUCAAACAGGAUUAGAUACCCUGGUAGUCCACGCCCUAAACGAUGAAUACUCGCUGUUAGCGAUACACAGUUAGCGGCUAAGCGAAAGCGUUAAGUAUUCCACCUGGGGAGUACGCCCGCAAGGGUGAAACUCAAAGGAAUUGACGGGGGCCCGCACAAGCGGAGGAGCAUGUGGUUUAAUUCGAUGAUACGCGAGGAACCUUACCCGGGCUUGAAAGUUAGUGAAUGAUUUAGAGAUAGAUCAGUCCGCAAGGACACGAAACUAGGUGCUGCAUGGCUGUCGUCAGCUCGUGCCGUGAGGUGUUGGGUUAAGUCCCGCAACGAGCGCAACCCCUAUGUUUAGUUGCCAGCACGUUAAGGUGGGGACUCUAAACAGACUGCCUGUGCAAACAGAGAGGAAGGAGGGGACGACGUCAAGUCAUCAUGGCCCUUACGUCCGGGGCUACACACGUGCUACAAUGGAUGGUACAGAGGGCAGCAAGCUGGCAACAGCAAGCAAAUCUCAAAAAGCCAUUCACAGUUCGGAUAGAGGUCUGCAACUCGACCUCUUGAAGUUGGAUUCGCUAGUAAUCGCGUAUCAGCAAUGACGCGGUGAAUACGUUCCCGGGCCUUGUACACACCGCCCGUCAAGCCAUGGAAGUUGGGGGUACCUAAAGUAUGUAACCGCAAGGAGCGUCCUAGGGUAA